GAUGAACGCUGGCGGCGUGCCUAAUACAUGCAAGUCGAGCGAACAGACGAGGAGCUUGCUCCUCUGACGUUAGCGGCGGACGGGUGAGUAACACGUGGAUAACCUACCUAUAAGACUGGGAUAACUUCGGGAAACCGGAGCUAAUACCGGAUAAUAUAUUGAACCGCAUGGUUCAAUAGUGAAAGACGGCUUUGCUGUCACUUAUAGAUGGAUCCGCGCUGCAUUAGCUAGUUGGUAAGGUAACGGCUUACCAAGGCAACGAUGCGUAGCCGACCUGAGAGGGUGAUCGGCCACACUGGAACUGAGACACGGUCCAGACUCCUACGGGAGGCAGCAGUAGGGAAUCUUCCGCAAUGGGCGAAAGUCUGACGGAGCAACGCCGCGUGAGUGAUGAAGGUCUUCGGAUCGUAAAACUCUGUUAUUGGGGAAGAACAAAUGUGUAAGUAACUAUGCACGUCUUGACGGUACCUAAUCAGAAAGCCACGGCUAACUACGUG
Molecule: ribosomal RNA, 497 nt
Filed under: uncultured bacterium
Lineage: Bacteria
Description: partial 16S ribosomal RNA
Rfam family: Bacterial small subunit ribosomal RNA
Source: RNAcentral